ACAGGGAAAAUAAGUCUCUAAGAAGUGAAUGGAGUUUACCUGAGUGCAUAUAGCUGCUAAAUAGAAGAAGAACCAGCAUUCAAACACAGCCAGCAUAACCGGCAGCUAGCACAUGUACUGAAUGCCAAAGAUGAAGUUUUCCAAAUAAAAGAAGCUGAAAGGCCUUGAAAGACUCUGGAGCAUAAUUGUCAAACUGUAAUUACUAAUCAAGUCAUGGGGCAGCAGACCUCUUGGAAUGGUUAUUGUGGCAGAAACAGAACUAGGGGCACCUUCAAAAGUCCUGAGUGGGCCUCUUGAUUUGACUUCUUUUUGGUUAACUUCUUGAUAAACCAUUUCUGGAGAGGAACCACCUCUAAGGAGAGAAGCCUCUGCCCUUCUCCCCUUCCGAGUCUGACAAUGCAAUCCAUGAAUCUGGGAAUCUUGGAGGAGAGUCCGUGUCAGAUUUUUGCAUCCAGCACCAAUACCCCAAGGAGUGAUGAGCAACCCGUGGGACCUCGCACAGGGAACUAGCACCAGGCAGUAUUUGGAUGUGAACUUGAUGUAUAAAAACUGCUUUGAAUCUGAGUCCACUCUUGAGAAUUGAGGGGGUAUGAGGGAGAGGAUGCUGCUGAAGUUUUGGAGGGGGGUUACUUUAGUUCUUGCUGUAUCCCUGAAGUCCAUAUCACUUUGAAAAAGCUAAUUGAUGUUAAUUAUUAUAACUGGAACUGGGGCAUUAGUAACUGGUGGCUAACAGUGGAGGGAACAUAGCUCAUGAAGGCUCAACCUGAAAGUAUUAGAUAAGACUCCCCAAUCUCUCAAGGGUUUUGCAAGUAUCCAGUGGGGGAGAUGUAGCCAGCCUGACUCUUGGAUAGUAAGCCUAGAGAGAACUUGCUCCUCCAGUACCAAAUAAGGUACUGAUCAACUUAAAUUCUCCAGAGACUUGAUUCCUAGAUAUAUAAUAUCACUGUAUAUAAUGC
Long non-coding RNA from Sarcophilus harrisii (Tasmanian devil), 956 nucleotides. RefSeq lists it as uncharacterized. The record is from RefSeq and is a predicted model, not a curated record. NCBI's taxonomy places the organism in Eukaryota, Metazoa, Chordata, Mammalia, Dasyuromorphia, Dasyuridae. The transcript is spliced from 3 exons.